This 497-nucleotide ribosomal RNA is filed under the name uncultured bacterium. Its description in RNAcentral is "partial 16S ribosomal RNA". It matches the Rfam family "Bacterial small subunit ribosomal RNA", at positions 28 to 507 of the family's 1533-position model. The record is from RNAcentral.
GAUGAACGCUGGCGGCGUGCCUAAUACAUGCAAGUCGAGCGAACAGACGAGGAGCUUGCUCCUCUGACGUUAGCGGCGGACGGGUGAGUACCACGUGGAUAACCUACCUAUAAGACUGGGAUAACUUCGGGAAACCGGAGCUAAUACCGGAUAAUAUAUUGAACCGCAUGGUUCAAUAGUGAAAGACGGUUUUGCUGUCACUUAUAGAUGGAUCCGCGCCGCAUUAGCUAGUUGGUAAGGUAACGGCUUACCAAGGCAACGAUGCGUAGCCGACCUGAGAGGGUGAUCGGCCACACUGGAAGUGAGAAACGGUCCAGACUCCUACGGGAGGCAGCAGUAGGGAAUCUUCCGCAAUGGGCGAAAGCCGGACGGAGCAACGCCGCGGGAGUGAUGAAGGUCUUCGGAUCGGAAAACUCUGUUAUUAGGGAAGAACAAAUGUGUAAGUAACUAUGCACGUCUUGACGGUACCUAAUCAGAAAGCCACGGCUAACUACGUG